This 497-nucleotide ribosomal RNA is filed under the name uncultured bacterium. RNAcentral describes it as "partial 16S ribosomal RNA". It matches the Rfam family "Bacterial small subunit ribosomal RNA", at positions 28 to 507 of the family's 1533-position model. The record is from RNAcentral.
GAUGAACGCUGGCGGCGUGCCUAAUACAUGCAAGUCGAGCGAACGGACGAGAAGCUUGCUUCUCUGAUGUUAGCGGCGGACGGGUGAGUAACACGUGGAUAACCUACCUAUAAGACUGGGAUAACUUCGGGAAGCCGGAGCUAAUACCGGAUAAUAUUUUGAACCGCAUGGUUCAAAAGUGAAAGACGCUCUUGCUGUCACUUAUAGAUGGAUCCGCGCUGCAUUAGCUAGUUGGUAAGGUAACGGCUUACCAAGGCAACGAUGCAUAGCCGACCUGAGAGGGUGAUCGGCCACACUGGAACUGGGACACGGUACAGACUCCGACGGGAGGCAGCAGUAGGGAAUCUUCCGCAAUGGGCGAAAGCCUGACGGAGCAACGCCGCGUGAGUGAUGAAGGUCUUCGGAUCGUAAAACUCUGUUAUUAGGGAAGAACAUAUGUGUAAGUAACUGUGCACAUCUUGACGGUACCUAAUCAGAAAGCCACGGCUAACUACGUG